ACGAGGUGUUAAAGAAAGGCUGAAGAGGCCGUUUUAUCGCAAUAAUAACAGAUAAAUAAGGCGAUGAACAGAAAGCAUUCAACAUUAGUGCUGCCCUCUUUCCGCGCAUUGGCUUUCUCGAUUUUUGUUGCCCCCCACUUGCUCUAUAGCGCAAACGUGCACAGUAGCGCUCGAGCUUCGAAGCUGCCGGACCCGCAAAACCAGUACGAGGAGCCGGCCCAAGAGCUCCAGCCGCCGUUCCCGCCGAAGACCUGCACCCAGUGACGGCCACCCUGCGCAGCUGUCGACGGGCGCCUGCUGCGAUGCCGUUGCGGAUGCCAGUCCUAGAACCGAGGGCGAGGCCUGCUGAGCUGCGCCGGCUGGAGCACCGUUGCUGAGAUUGCCCGCACCUCGCACAUCACAAGCUGCGGAAACUUAAUGACUGCUUGGACACCCGAAUCGCAAACUGGUUGGCUGCUGGUGGGAUCGACUACGCUUUGUCCUGGCAAGAACCAACGCCUCCGGACAACAACUUCGGAAGGAAGGUGCCAGGAUUCAUGACUGCAUAUGCGGUGACAAAUGGGCCUCUGCGGCAUGGAAGUUUCAUUAUCCGUAUCAACGUAUACGGCUUCGACGACCAGGUUGUACCGUCCAGCCAGUGCAGCCAUUGUUGAACCGGUACCCCGAGAAACGAAAAGAAACAAACUUAAGCAAUGCCCGGCUACGCGGACUCAAUAGAAGACUUAAGAAGUCCGCUCUGGUGAUUGCCGCCGGGAAUGCACUAAAACACGAAAGAUAGGAAAACAACUGGAGACACGGUGCAAGGUAAAUAAAUGGAAACCAUGGGCUC
This is a long non-coding RNA of Dermacentor andersoni, 829 nucleotides long. RefSeq lists it as uncharacterized. Lineage: Eukaryota; Metazoa; Arthropoda; Arachnida; Ixodida; Ixodidae. The record is from RefSeq and is a predicted model, not a curated record.